This 87-nucleotide small RNA is filed under the name uncultured Enterococcus sp. Its description in RNAcentral is "Trans-activating crRNA". It matches the Rfam family "Trans-activating crRNA". Rfam says of the family: RNA-guided Streptococcus pyogenes Cas9 (SpCas9) is a sequence-specific DNA endonuclease, the Trans-activating CRISPR RNA form an hybrid with the crRNA (crRNA/tracrRNA). The record is from RNAcentral. Lineage: Bacteria; Bacillati; Bacillota; Bacilli; Lactobacillales; Enterococcaceae.
GUUGGAAGUAUUCAAAACAACAUAGCGAGUUAAAAUAAGGCUUAGUCCGUAAUCAACUUUCUAGUGGCGCUGUUUCGGCGCUUUUUU